CACAAGCAGUGGAACAUGUGGUUCAAUCGACGCUACGCGAAGAACCUCACCAGGGUUUGACAUAUAGGUAGUAGGAACCUGAAAGGGAGACGACUCGUUAAGCCGAGUGCCUAUACAGGUGUUGCAUGGCUGUCGUCAGCUCGUGCCGUGAGGUGUUGGGUUAAGUCCCGCAACGAGCGCAACCCUCGCCUUUAGUUGCCAGCAUUCAGUUGGGCACUCUAGAGGGACUGCCGGUGUCAAACCGGAGGAAGGUGGGAUGACGUCAAGUCCUCAUGGCCUUUAUGUCUAGGGCUACACACGUACUACAAUGGCCGGUACAAAGGGCAGCCACUCAGCGAUGAGGCGCUAAUCCCAUAAAGCCGGUCUCAGUCCGGAUCGCAGUCUGCAACUCGACUGCGUGAAGUUGGAAUCGCUAGUAAUCGUAGAUCAGCAUGCUACGGUGAAUACGUUCCCGGGCCUU
This 460-nucleotide ribosomal RNA is filed under the name uncultured Desulfovibrio sp. RNAcentral describes it as "bacterial SSU rRNA". It matches the Rfam family "Bacterial small subunit ribosomal RNA", at positions 924 to 1382 of the family's 1533-position model. Lineage: Bacteria; Pseudomonadati; Thermodesulfobacteriota; Desulfovibrionia; Desulfovibrionales; Desulfovibrionaceae. The record is from RNAcentral.